This 412-nucleotide ribosomal RNA is filed under the name uncultured bacterium. RNAcentral's name for it is "bacterial SSU rRNA". It matches the Rfam family "Bacterial small subunit ribosomal RNA", at positions 28 to 421 of the family's 1533-position model. The record is from RNAcentral.
GACGAACGCUGGCGGCGUGCCUAACACAUGCAAGUCGAACGGAGUUCAUUGGAUUGAGGCUUCGGCCAAAUGAAUUUGAACUUAGUGGCGAACGGGUGAGUAACGCGUGAGCAACCCUGCCUUUCAGGAGGGGGACAACAGUUGGAAACGACUGCUAAUACCGCAUAACACAUCGAGAGGGCAUCCUCUUGAUGUCAAAGAUUUAUCGCUGAAAGAUGGGCUCGCGUCUGAUUAGAUAGUUGGUGAGGUAACGGCUCACCAAGUCGACGAUCAGUAGCCGGACUGAGAGGUUGAACGGCCACAUUGGGACUGAGAUACGGCCCAGACUCCUACGGGAGGCAGCAGUGGGGAAUAUUGCACAAUGGAGGAAACUCUGAUGCAGACGUAUGCCGCGUGAGGGAAGAGGUUUCGG